UAAACCUUAAUAUUAAUAGUUAAGAUCUUUAAAUUAUAAGAAUUUGGCGGUAAUUUAGUCUAUUCAGAGGAACCUGUUCUGUAAUUGAUGAUCCACGAUGGAUUCUACUUGAAUUUUUGUUUGUAUAUCUCUGUCAUUGAAUGUUUUAUUAGAAUAAUUUUCUUUAAUCAUUUAUUGUGAAUAAUGUCAGGUCAAGGUGCAAUUAUAUUUAAGAUUGAAAUGGGUUACAUUUAAUAUUAUUAAUUAGUUCAAUUGUUGGAAGGACUUUUGUUAAAUAGGAUUUGAAAGUAAUAUUUAAUAAUUUUUAAUUAUGAUUUUAGCUCUAAAUUAUGCACAUAUCGCCCGUCGCUCCCAUUUUAAGAUGGGAUAAGUCGUAACAAAGUAAUUUUACUGGAAAGUGAAGUUGGAUUUAUC
RNAcentral lists this ribosomal RNA (414 nucleotides) under Paralycambes pronotalis. RNAcentral's name for it is "partial small subunit ribosomal RNA". Lineage: Eukaryota; Metazoa; Arthropoda; Insecta; Hemiptera; Coreidae. The record is from RNAcentral.